UGCGUAGGCGGGAGAUUAAGUCAGUAGUGAAAUCCUGCAGCUUAACUGUAGAACUGUUAUUGAUACUGGUUUUCUUGAAUAUAGUUGAGGUAGGCGGAAUGUGUAAUGUAGCGGUGAAAUGCUUAGAUAUUACACAGAACACCGAUUGCGAAGGCAGCUUACUAAGCUAUGAUUGACGCUGAGGUACGAAAGCGUGGGGAGCGAACAGGAUUAGAUACCCUGGUAGUCC
Molecule: ribosomal RNA, 229 nt
Filed under: uncultured bacterium
Lineage: Bacteria
Description: partial 16S ribosomal RNA
Rfam family: Bacterial small subunit ribosomal RNA
Source: RNAcentral